This 1465-nucleotide ribosomal RNA is filed under the name Leuconostoc mesenteroides subsp. mesenteroides. Its description in RNAcentral is "bacterial SSU rRNA". It matches the Rfam family "Bacterial small subunit ribosomal RNA". Lineage: Bacteria; Bacillati; Bacillota; Bacilli; Lactobacillales; Lactobacillaceae. The record is from RNAcentral.
GAACGCUGGCGGCGUGCCUAAUACAUGCAAGUCGAACGCACAGCGAAAGGUGCUUGCACCUUUCAAGUGAGUGGCGAACGGGUGAGUAACACGUGGACAACCUGCCUCAAGGCUGGGGAUAACAUUUGGAAACAGAUGCUAAUACCGAAUGAAACUUAGUGUCGCAUGAUACGAAGUUAAAAGGCGCUUUGGCGUCACCUAGAGAUGGAUCCGCGGUGCAUUAGUUAGUUGGUGGGGUAAAGGCCUACCAAGACAAUGAUGCAUAGCCGAGUUGAGAGACUGAUCGGCCACAUUGGGACUGAGACACGGCCCAAACUCCUACGGGAGGCUGCAGUAGGGAAUCUUCCACAAUGGGCGAAAGCCUGAUGGAGCAACGCCGCGUGUGUGAUGAAGGCUUUCGGGUCGUAAAGCACUGUUGUAUGGGAAGAACAGCUAGAAUAGGGAAUGAUUUUAGUUUGACGGUACCAUACCAGAAAGGGACGGCUAAAUACGUGCCAGCAGCCGCGGUAAUACGUAUGUCCCGAGCGUUAUCCGGAUUUAUUGGGCGUAAAGCGAGCGCAGACGGUUGAUUAAGUCUGAUGUGAAAGCCCGGAGCUCAACUCCGGAAUGGCAUUGGAAACUGGUUAACUUGAGUGCAGUAGAGGUAAGUGGAACUCCAUGUGUAGCGGUGGAAUGCGUAGAUAUAUGGAAGAACACCAGUGGCGAAGGCGGCUUACUGGACUGUAACUGACGUUGAGGCUCGAAAGUGUGGGUAGCAAACAGGAUUAGAUACCCUGGUAGUCCACACCGUAAACGAUGAACACUAGGUGUUAGGAGGUUUCCGCCUCUUAGUGCCGAAGCUAACGCAUUAAGUGUUCCGCCUGGGGAGUACGACCGCAAGGUUGAAACUCAAAGGAAUUGACGGGGACCCGCACAAGCGGUGGAGCAUGUGGUUUAAUUCGAAGCAACGCGAAGAACCUUACCAGGUCUUGACAUCCUUUGAAGCUUUUAGAGAUAGAAGUGUUCUCUUCGGAGACAAAGUGACAGGUGGUGCAUGGUCGUCGUCAGCUCGUGUCGUGAGAUGUUGGGUUAAGUCCCGCAACGAGCGCAACCCUUAUUGUUAGUUGCCAGCAUUCAGAUGGGCACUCUAGCGAGACUGCCGGUGACAAACCGGAGGAAGGCGGGGACGACGUCAGAUCAUCAUGCCCCUUAUGACCUGGGCUACACACGUGCUACAAUGGCGUAUACAACGAGUUGCCAACCCGCGAGGGUGAGCUAAUCUCUUAAAGUACGUCUCAGUUCGGAUUGUAGUCUGCAACUCGACUACAUGAAGUCGGAAUCGCUAGUAAUCGCGGAUCAGCACGCCGCGGUGAAUACGUUCCCGGGUCUUGUACACACCGCCCGUCACACCAUGGGAGUUUGUAAUGCCCAAAGCCGGUGGCCUAACCUUUUAGGAAGGAGCCGUCUAAGGCAGGACAGAUGACUG